Antechinus flavipes (yellow-footed antechinus) is the source of this 3016-nucleotide RNA transcript. It is a transcript of the gene named zinc finger protein 135-like, with no coding region annotated. The transcript is spliced from 5 exons. NCBI's taxonomy places the organism in Eukaryota, Metazoa, Chordata, Mammalia, Dasyuromorphia, Dasyuridae. The record is from RefSeq and is a predicted model, not a curated record.
CCUAAGGGAAAGGUGGGCUGCAGGGAGGCCAGGGCGUACACUCUUCUCAAGCCGCUCUGGGGGUCGCGGAAGCAGAAGUCUGAGGGGGGAUCGCCAGGAGGCACAGAUGGUUGGAGCUGUGGAGUGGUGAGUCUGGGUAUGGGGGGGAAUGCGCAUCCUUCGGACAGCGUCACUGCACUACAUUUCCCAGAAUGCUUUGCCGAUCCAGAAUGGCUUUUACCAUGGCAACAGUGGCAGGCGGGACACAAGAGAAGGCUGGAGAGAAGAUGCUUCAUGGGAUUGGUCAAGAAGCGACGAGGGGCGGGGCCAUAAGGGAGGCUGGCGACACCCCAGCGACUUCCGCUUCCUUCUUUGCUCCUCGCGGCUCCGCCAUCAAACCGGUCCGGACCCCUGCCGACUUCGGAUGUCCGCACCGUGUUCGGCUCCGCCGCGUACUCAGCCGCUGCCAGUGCCCAAGCCCUGCGUCCUGUGCCGGGGUAGAGGCUGGCCAGAUGGACCCACGCAAGAGUUGUGGAAACGAGCUGGUGCAGGUGGUUAUAACAACGUGAACUAGGGAUAAAUGUGCACUUGGGUUCACAGAGUCAAGAUUGGGAGGUGGCGCCUGAAACCAAGGAGUGAGCUACAAAGCUGGGCUUCUCUAUGGAACAGUCAUCUCAGGAAAUACUCACAUGGGAUCGCCCCUGUGUUUCUAGUUUGGGAGAAACUUCAGAAUGUGAUGCCAGGCUAGAGAAACAGCCAAGAAAAGUGGUGAGACAUCCCAGACUUGGUCCUGGAGAGAAACCUUAUAAAUGUAACGAGUGUGGGAAGGCCUUCCGACAGAGCUCACAGCUUAUUGUACACCACAGAAUUCACACUGGGGAGAAACCUUAUGAAUGUAGUGAAUGUGGGAAGGCCUUCCGAGAGAGCAAAGAACUGAUUCGACACCAGAGAAUUCACACUGGAGAGAAACCUUACGAAUGCAAAGAAUGUGGGAAGGGCUUCAGAGAAAGCAAAGAGCUCACUCGACAUCAAAGGAUUCAUACUGGAGAAAAACCCUAUGAAUGUAAAGACUGUGGAAAGGCUUUCAGGCGGAGAACUGGACUUAAUGAACACCAGAGAAUUCACACUGGGGAGAAGCCUUACGAAUGUAAUGAAUGUGGGAAGGCCUUCCGCAGGAGAACCGGACUUAAUGAACAUCAGCGAAUCCAUACUGGAGAAAAACCUUAUGAAUGUAAUGAGUGUGGGAAAGCCUUCCGUGAGAGCAAAGAACUUAUUCAACACCAGAGAAUUCACACAGGGGAGAAACCUUACGAAUGUAAAGAAUGCGGGAAGGCCUUCAGGCGGAGCACAGGACUCACGGACCAUCAGAGAAUUCACACUGGAGAGAAACCUUACGAGUGCAAUCAAUGUGGCAAGACCUUCCGCUGGAGAACAGAGCUUACCUCUCAUCACACAAUUCAUACCGGAGAGAAGCCUUAUGAGUGCAGCGAAUGCGGGAAGGCCUUCCGCCUGAGCGCCCACCUCAUCCAGCACCGGAGUAUUCACACCGGAGAGAAACCUUACGAGUGUAACGUUUGUGGGAAGGCCUUCCGCUGGAUCACGGGACUGGCUUCCCAUCACAGAAUUCACACGGGAGAGAAGCCCUAUGAAUGUAACAUCUGUGGGAAGACCUUCCGCCAGAGUACCCAGCUUUCCAGACAUCACAGAAUGCACACUGGAGAGAAGCCCUACGAAUGUACUGAGUGCGGGAAGGCUUUCUGCCUGAGCACCCAGCUUAUUCAACACCAGAGAAUUCACAACCGCAUGAAGCCUUUUGAAUGGUAAGGCCUCCCAAGGUGAGGGACCUGAGGUCUGGUGCACGUGGAGAGCGCCCACUGAAGUUUGGAGAAUCCCAACUAAAGGAAGCCCUUAAAGAUCAAAGCCCAGUCAGACUCCCCGCCAUGGCCGCCAGCUCAGCCUUCAGAAGUAGCUUCCUGCUCUCCCCAUGAAGGACCUCGGUGUUCACAGGCCACGGCUCCUAACGUCCCGGGAGGAUGAAGUGUCCUGUCAGCUGAAAGGCUCACGGAGAACCUUGGCCGUUUGAUCAAAGAAUGUGACCCGAGCGGGUCUUGCAGCAGCACAGAUUAUCCCUAAGCACUGAAAAUUGUCCAAAUGUAAGCUAAGUUAUGUAACCUGGAGCGCUACAAAGCACUUUCAUAGACUCGAGCCUUUCAAGGUCCCGGAGGCCGUCCUCAUCUGUCCCCAAACAAGAAUCUCCCUUGGAUGCACCCGACAAGUGGCCUUCCAGCGCUUCCGGUGAACCCCGAGACUCCCCCCACCCCCCUGACAAAAUGACCAAAAAAAGGGCACAGUUUGGAGACGGGACAUGGAAAGAAGGGCAAGCACAAUAAUACGCUGUCGGUCCAAAUGUUUUCGCAGGCAGGUUGGAGUUCCGGUGAGCCUGUCCUUGCCGGCAGGCCUUUGUCCCGAGGGCAUCCGAGCUCUCCGAGGCUCACAGCACUUUCCCAAGAGCGGGUCUGCUAGGGAAUGACUACACAGAGGCGGCCUCGGGAGCGGGAAGGCCCGGGUCUGAGUCCCACUUCCGGCCGCGCGCCCGAGGCUAGAGAAGCUGCUUUAACAAAGGCGGCUCUUUCUGCAGUCCCUGGCCCCUGGGAAGCCCAGCUCUCGUCUGUGACGGGCAAUGACAGAUUUUUAGAAUUUUCAAGGACGUCUGAACUGGCGCCGAGCGGAGAACGCAGGAGCGAGAGGAGGCGAGCUCGGCUUUGGCGAUGGCAAGGACGGCUGCAGUGAGAUCUGAGCCUGGCCAGGCUCGGGCUGGUCUCAGCGAUGGCCGUCUCUGGCCGGAGGCGGGGGCGCAGCUGCGGCCGGGGCUGAGUUUGCUUGGCUGUAUUUAUUUAUUAGGAGCGGCGCUUCUGUAAUUGGUGGGAAGAGGGGAUGGGCGGGAGUGACAGGGACGUUAAAACCGGGGAAGGGGAUCAAUAAAACACUGGGAAAGAAAGGCGCCGUUUCUCUGACCAGACCAUGGAUCAUCCGGCCU